CCUUCCUCUGUCAGAAUGGCCACCAUGGUACCAUCCGUGUUGUGGCCCAGGGCCUGCUGGACUCUGCUGGUCUGCUGUCUGCUGACCCCAGGUGUCCAGGGGCAGGAGUUCCUUUUGCGGGUGGAGCCCCAGAACCCUGUGCUCUCUGCUGGAGGGUCCCUGUUUGUGAACUGCAGUACUGAUUGUCCCAGCUCUGAGAAAAUCGCCUUGGAGACGUCCCUAUCAAAGGAGCUGGUGGCCAGUGGCAUGGGCUGGGCAGCCUUCAAUCUCAGCAACGUGACUGGCAACAGUCGGAUCCUCUGCUCAGUGUACUGCAAUGGCUCCCAGAUAACAGGCUCCUCUAACAUCACCGUGUACAGGCUCCCGGAGCGUGUGGAGCUGGCACCCCUGCCUCCUUGGCAGCAGGUGGGUCAGAACUUCACCCUGCGCUGCCAAGUGGAGGGUGGGUCGCCCCGGACCAGCCUCACGGUGGUGCUGCUUCGCUGGGAGGAGGAGCUGAGCCGGCAGCCCGCAGUGGAGGAGCCAGCGGAGGUCACUGCCACUGUGCUGGCCAGCAGAGACGACCACGGAGCCCCUUUCUCAUGCCGCACAGAACUGGACAUGCAGCCCCAGGGGCUGGGACUGUUCGUGAACACCUCAGCCCCCCGCCAGCUCCGAACCUUUGGUGAGAGAAGGGGCUUCAGACGGUGGGUGACGAGCUGAGCCAGGGUAAACGGUGCCCUGACCUUGGGGUUCCUGAGAGUGGGGUACCCUGGACCUCACAGGCUUCUGGGAAGGAAAGCCCCCGGCCACUGGGCAAGGUGGCCCCGGAAGGGAGGCCCGAGCCGUGGGAUCUUUGAAGAAGGCCGUUUUCAUGGCCCUGUGUGUGUGUCCUGCGAAGAAGGGUGACCCAGUCAGCAAGAUAUCCUGACUGGGGGGGAUGAGGGUGUCCUGGGGAAGGCACAAUCCUGGGGGUUGUACUAUGCCCACCUUUCUCCCCAGUCCUGCCCGUGACCCCCCCGCGCCUCGUGGCCCCCCGGUUCUUGGAGGUGGAAACGUCGUGGCCGGUGGACUGCACCCUAGACGGGCUUUUUCCAGCCUCAGAGGCCCAGGUCUACCUGGCGCUGGGGGACCAGAUGCUGAAUGCGACAGUCAUGAACCACGGGGACACGCUAACGGCCACAGCCACAGCCACGGCGCGCGCGGAUCAGGAGGGUGCCCGGGAGAUCGUCUGCAACGUGACCCUAGGGGGCGAGAGACGGGAGGCCCGGGAGAACUUGACGGUCUUUAGCUUCCUAGGACCCACUGUGAACCUCAGCGAGCCCACCGCCCCUGAGGGGUCCACAGUGACCGUGAGUUGCAUGGCUGGGGCUCGAGUCCAGGUCACGCUGGACGGAGUUCCGGCCGCGGCCCCGGGGCAGCCAGCUCAACUUCAGCUAAAUGCUACCGAGAGUGACGACAGACGCAGCUUCUUCUGCAGUGCCACUCUCGAGGUGGACGGCGAGUUCUUGCACAGGAACAGUAGCGUCCAGCUGCGAGUCCUGUAUGGUCCCAAAAUUGACCGAGCCACAUGCCCCCAGCACUUGAAAUGGAAAGAUAAAACGACACACGUCCUGCAGUGCCAAGCCAGGGGCAACCCGUACCCCGAGCUGCGGUGUUUGAAGGAAGGCUCCAGCCGGGAGGUGCCGGUGGGGAUCCCGUUCUUCGUCAACGUAACACAUAAUGGUACUUAUCAGUGCCAAGCGUCCAGCUCACGAGGCAAAUACACCCUGGUCGUGGUGAUGGACAUUGAGGCUGGGAGCUCCCACUUUGUCCCCGUCUUCGUGGCGGUGUUACUGACCCUGGGCGUGGUGACUAUCGUACUGGCCUUAAUGUACGUCUUCAGGGAGCACAAACGGAGCGGCAGUUACCAUGUUAGGGAGGAGAGCACCUAUCUGCCCCUCACGUCUAUGCAGCCGACACAAGCAAUGGGGGAAGAACCGUCCAGAGCUGAGUGACGCUGGGAUCCGGGAUCAAAGUUGGCGGGGGCUUGGCUGUGCCCUCAGAUUCCGCACCAAUAAAGCCUUCAAACUCCCUAA
This 2057-nucleotide small RNA is filed under the name Pan troglodytes (chimpanzee). RNAcentral describes it as "retained intron". Lineage: Eukaryota; Metazoa; Chordata; Mammalia; Primates; Hominidae. The record is from RNAcentral.